RNAcentral lists this transfer RNA (66 nucleotides) under Bathypolypus ergasticus. Its description in RNAcentral is "tRNA-Leu". Lineage: Eukaryota; Metazoa; Mollusca; Cephalopoda; Octopoda; Octopodidae. The record is from RNAcentral.
AUAAAGUUGGCAGAAAAUAUGCAAAUAGUUUAGGACUAUUUUAUAAAAGAUAUCUUUUACUUUAUA